CGUGUAGGCGGCCCGGCAAGUUGGAUGUGCAAGCCUGCGGCUUAACCGCAGAAUUGCAUCCAAAACUGCCAGGCUUGAGUACGGGAGAGGAGAGUGGAAUUCCCAGUGUAGCGGUGAAAUGCGUAGAUAUUGGGAGGAACACCGGUGGCGAAGGCGGCUCUCUGGAACGAUACUGACGCUAAGGCGCGAAAGCUGGGGGAGCAAACGGGAUUAGAUACCCCGGUAGUCCCAGCCGUAAACGAUGGGCACUAGGUGUGGGAGGAUAUCGAUCCCUUCCGUGCCGGAGCUAACGCAGUAAGUGCCCCGCCUGGGGAGUACGGUCGCAAGACUGAA
This 333-nucleotide ribosomal RNA is filed under the name uncultured bacterium. Its description in RNAcentral is "bacterial SSU rRNA". It matches the Rfam family "Bacterial small subunit ribosomal RNA", at positions 568 to 898 of the family's 1533-position model. The record is from RNAcentral.